GACGAACGCUGGCGGCGUGCUUAACACAUGCAAGUCGAACGGAAAGGCCCUGCUUGCAGGGUACUCGAGUGGCGAACGGGUGAGUAACACGUGGGUGAUCUGCCCUGCACUUCGGGAUAAGCCUGGGAAACUGGGUCUAAUACCGGAUAGGAGCCAUUUUUAGUGUGAUGGUUGGAAAGUUUUUUCGGUGUAGGAUGAGCUCGCGGCCUAUCAGCUUGGUGGUGGGGUAAUGGCCUACCAAGGCGGCGACGGGUAGCCGGCCUGAGAGGGUGGACGGCCACAAUGGGACUGAGAUACGGCCCAGACGCCUACGGGAGGCAGCAGUGGGGAAUAUUGCACAAUGGGCGCAAGCCUGAUGCAGCGACGCCGCGUGGGGGAUGACGGCCUUCGGGUUGUAAACUCCUUUCGCUAGGGACGAAGCUUUUUGUGACGGUACCUAGAUAAGAAGCACCGGCUAACUACGUG
This 465-nucleotide ribosomal RNA is filed under the name uncultured bacterium. Its description in RNAcentral is "partial 16S ribosomal RNA". It matches the Rfam family "Bacterial small subunit ribosomal RNA", at positions 28 to 507 of the family's 1533-position model. The record is from RNAcentral.